RNAcentral lists this ribosomal RNA (253 nucleotides) under uncultured bacterium. RNAcentral's name for it is "partial 16S ribosomal RNA". It matches the Rfam family "Bacterial small subunit ribosomal RNA", at positions 524 to 776 of the family's 1533-position model. The record is from RNAcentral.
UACGUAGGGUGCAAGCGUUAAUCGGAAUUACUGGGCGUAAAGCGUGCGCAGGCGGUUAUGUAAGACAGAUGUGAAAUGCCCGGGCUUAACCUGGGAACUGCAUUUGUGACUGCAUGGCUAGAGUAUGGCAGAGGGGGGUGGAAUUCCACGUGUAGCAGUGAAAUGCGUAGAGAUGUGGAGGAACACCGAUGGCGAAGGCAGCCCCCUGGGCCAAUACUGACGCUCAUGCACGAAAGCGUGGGGAGCAAACAGG